Molecule: long non-coding RNA, 1330 nt
Filed under: Lotus japonicus
Lineage: Eukaryota; Viridiplantae; Streptophyta; Magnoliopsida; Fabales; Fabaceae
Description: long non-coding RNA (LJAP_LNC002060)
Source: RNAcentral
UCUGGUUGAAUCAAAUCACCGAUGGUGUUUUCAAUGAACACGGCUCUGGAGAAUGCCUUCCAUGGCCUAGCGAGGUAGGUCUUCACGGUGAGCCUGUCGGCGGCGAGCUCAGGUGCUGCUUGAAUCUGGCAGUUCUGGAGGACGACUCCGGUGGGCAUGUUCUUCUGGGCGGUACCGUCGGCGACGACGAUGUUCUGCUGGUUUGACAUGGGCUUCCUGACCAAGAUCUUGGAGUUUUGGAUCAAGGUGGUGGCGUAGCCGAAGAUGAAGUCGAUGGUACCGGAGAUCUCGCAGUUGCGGUAGAACUGACGGUGAGCGUGUGCAUACAGCGAGUCUUGGUAGCCGCGGAUCGCGACGUCGAAGAAGGCUGAGCAGUCACCAUUCACACGGAGUGCAACUGCUUGGUGUCCCUGUGGCCCGGCGGUGUUCUCAAAUGCAAUUGACUUGGCAAUGAAGUUUGGAGCAAGGGUGGCUGCACAUUGCACAAAUUUUAUCAAUACACAAAGAAAAAUGCGUGAAAAUGAGAUGAGAGAUGAAUGAAUUAUUAUCUUAUGUGUAACCAACUAUCCCUAAAAAAUGACUAUUAAUUGAAAAAAUGACCAAAAAAAUUAUUUCCGCAUAUCAAUUACACUUUCAUCUUCAUUUUGACAAAAUAUAUAGAAAAGAAAAAUAAAAUGAAUGAUAUGAUAAGAAAUAUAGAUAGAUAAGAAAAAUGAAUGAAAAUGAGGACUCAGAAUGGCUAACUUACUGAAUGUGGCAGUUCUCAUGGUCUUGACACCGGCGGCGUAGUUCUUGUUUCCGGUGAUGAUGGUCUUGGUAGGGCCGUCACCGUACAAGAGAAUGUUGGGCUUCUUCUUGUCAACGUUGAUGUACUCGUCAUAGACACCAGCCUUGACAUAGAUGAGGAAUCUACCUUGGUGCUUCUUAGGGUAUGAGUUAAUGGCUUCAGUAAUGGUCUUAAACUGGCCACUACCAUCCUUAGCCACAAUUGCGUUGGGCAGAACAUUUGACUUGGACUCCACGAGUUUACGAUCAGCAAAAGAGAGCCAUGUAGGGUACCCUUCAGCAUCAAUCUCAAGAAGGCGACGAGCGGGUUUCAGGUGCAGGUUGAAAUCAAAAGCUCCGAGGACCUUGGAGAUUCCGGAAACAAUGUCAAGUGCCAAGCCAGUAAGUUUACCAACAUCGUCCAAGCUUCCUUGUUGAAGCUUGUCCUGGACCUCUUUCUCGCCCUUGGUGUCGAACCCGUCCAGGCAAGAUUGCUGGUAAGCAACGACUGCGCUGAGCCAGUUUUUAAGCUCGGCGGAGCGCUGGUUAACAUCAAGGAGGCUGC